This 468-nucleotide ribosomal RNA is filed under the name uncultured bacterium. RNAcentral's name for it is "partial 16S ribosomal RNA". It matches the Rfam family "Bacterial small subunit ribosomal RNA", at positions 28 to 507 of the family's 1533-position model. The record is from RNAcentral.
GACGAACGCUGGCGGCGUGCUUAACACAUGCAAGUCGAACGGAAAGGCCCUGCUUUUGUGGGGUGCUCGAGUGCCGAAGGCGGGCGUAUCACGUGUGUAUCCUGCCCUUGACUUUCGGAUAACUUCAGGAAACUGGGGCUAAUACCGGAUAGGAGCUCAUGCAGCAUGGUGGGGGUUGGAAAGUUUCGGCGGUUGGGGAUGGACUCGCGGCUUAUCAGCUUGUUAGUGGGGUAGUGGCUUACCCAGGCUUUGACGGGUAGCCGGCCUGAGAGGGUGACCGGGGACAAGGGGCCUAAGAUACGGACCAGACGCGAACGGGAGGCAGCAGUCGCAAGUAUUGCACAGUGGGCGGAAGUCUGAGACAACGACGUCGGGGUCGGAAAGACGGCCUUCUGGUUAUAAACCGCUGUCGCCUGUGACGAAGCGUGAGUGACGGUAACGAAUAAAGAAGCACCGGCUAACUACGUG